Long non-coding RNA from Oxyura jamaicensis (ruddy duck), 145 nucleotides. RefSeq lists it as uncharacterized. The transcript is spliced from 3 exons. Lineage: Eukaryota; Metazoa; Chordata; Aves; Anseriformes; Anatidae. The record is from RefSeq and is a predicted model, not a curated record.
UAUAAUCUUAACCAGUUCUCCGCUCAGAGGGCUGGUUUCGGUACAUCCUGCACCGCAGGACAGUCCCAGCCCAGGGGCUGCUAUGCUGAUCAUCUGCCCCGAAAGAGGUAAGAUACCAAAAUGCACAGUCUGAAUGCAUUUUCAG